Molecule: non-coding RNA, 1098 nt
Organism: Poecilia reticulata (guppy)
Lineage: Eukaryota; Metazoa; Chordata; Actinopteri; Cyprinodontiformes; Poeciliidae
Source: RefSeq, a predicted model, not a curated record
UUAAAGCUGUGUACUGUAAUCACUUCGCUGACUUCAGCAACUUAAAUGCUGAAAGUGUAAACCAGGAGUCCUUAAAUUCAGGCAAACAUAGUCGUUCUUCAAUUUUUAAAUGUGUAUUUGUACCUUAAUUAGCUGAAUAACCUCACAUGCAGCCAAAUUCUCCAGAUUUCUGACAUUAUUUGAUUUAGGUGUGUUGAGGCAGAGAUGCAUUUAAAAGUUGGAGGGGAUUGUACCUGGAGGACUGACUAAAAGAUGAAUAGGACUUAACAAAAUUCAUUUGUGCAAAAAACCCACCCUUUUUCCUUAAAUUAUGGCUCAAGUAUUCUUGUAAGGCUGUACUACUGGCUGAACCUCAAUAUAUUGAACACUGAUCAUUGUAUGAACUAUUUGUAGAUGGUAAAGCACUUUUUAAAAUCAGUGAUUAAAUAAAUUAUAGUGUUGUUGUUUUAUCUGAGGUAUGUGUCUUGCAUGUAUAACAUGUUUCCAUAGUAAUAAUUAAAUUUUUAGCUUUAAAGCUUGUAGGAAUWAUAAAGAAGCCUGUAAUUCCUUAUUUGACUGUUAUAACUUUUCAUACAUGCCAGUAAAACAUGCAGAGGCGAAGACGCAUAAAACCGAAGGAAGAUGCCAAAUAUUAUAUUGAUACCAAAACUGACAAAGUGGGGCUUGACGUCAAGUACAUCAAUGCCUUUAAAGGCCGUGGUAUUUUUGCCACAACCUCUUUUCAGAAAGGAGACUUUCUGUGUGAGUAUCGAGGUGAACUGAUAAGUAAAGAGGAAUGUGAGAGGAGACAGAAAAUUUACCAUGACAACCUUAAAGUUUUCUUGUUUGAAUUCUACUUUAAUGGAAAACUCUGGUGUGUUGAUGCAGCAAAAGAAGAUGGCUCUCUUGGAAGGCUUAUAAACGAUGACAAUAUCAGCCCAAAUACCAAAAUGAAGUAUCUGACUGUGCAACAGAAGCCACAUUUGUGUUUAUUUGCAACUCGAGAUAUCAAUCAGGGAGAAGAGAUUAGGUACAAUUAUGGGGACUCAGACUGGCCAUGGCGACUCAAGGUACUAAAAAAAUCAAAAUUUAUGAAUCUUAAGAUUAUGUUCAUUUAAG